AAUCUCAAUGUAUUGUAUAGAAUAGGAAUGUCACCGUGUCGGAUACAGGAUGGAUUUUCAAAAAAUCGAAUCCGAACCCAACUACCAAAUUCGAAAUCUGAACCCAAACCCUAAUACGGUGGAUUUUAAAAAUCCAUAUCCAAACCCAAAUCGGAUCAAAAAUCCGAAACCCGAAUUCGAGCCUGAGCUCGAAAAUCCGAAUCCGAAACAAUUAUUUAUCAUUACAAUAUUUCAAAAUAUAUUACAUUAAAUCUAAAUUUUUAAAAUAUAAAUUAAAAUACAACAUCAAAUAUUUAUAUGUAUAUUAUAUAUAAUGUAAAAUAAUUUCGGAUUCAGAUCGGUACAAUCAAAAUUCAUACCCGAAUUCAAAUCUAUUUUAUUUUUAUUUUUGAUAUUCAUAUCCAAAAUUAUAUUAUUAAUUUAGCAUUAAAUAAAUUCACUUUGUUUGUGGUUGGAUUCUGAUAAAAUUUU
Molecule: long non-coding RNA, 471 nt
Filed under: Ananas comosus (pineapple)
Lineage: Eukaryota; Viridiplantae; Streptophyta; Magnoliopsida; Poales; Bromeliaceae
Description: long non-coding RNA (ACOM_LNC008664)
Source: RNAcentral